GCACUGGCAAAAUCCAGUGCCGGGAUUGGCGUCCCGGAUUACUAGUAGGCGCAUACCACGCCAGACGUGGUUUUUUU
This 77-nucleotide small RNA is filed under the name Escherichia coli. Its description in RNAcentral is "isrK Hfq binding RNA". It matches the Rfam family "isrK Hfq binding RNA". The record is from RNAcentral. Lineage: Bacteria; Pseudomonadati; Pseudomonadota; Gammaproteobacteria; Enterobacterales; Enterobacteriaceae. RNAcentral also lists the same sequence under 1 other name.